This 155-nucleotide unclassified non-coding RNA is filed under the name plant metagenome. RNAcentral describes it as "partial contains 5.8S ribosomal RNA, internal transcribed spacer 2, and large subunit ribosomal RNA". The record is from RNAcentral.
GAUCAGCACCGCCGCGCGGAUCACCGGCAGGUCGCGCGCUUCGAUCGACUGGAUCAUCAGCCAGCCGACGCCCGGCCAGGCGAAGACCGUCUCAACCACCACCGAGCCGCCCAGCAGCGCCCCGAACUGGAGGCCCAUCACCGUCACCACCGGGA